GAUGAACGCUAGCUACAGGCUUAACACAUGCAAGUCGAGGGGAAACGAUAUUGGAAGCUUGCUUCCGAUAGGCGUCGACCGGCGCACGGGUGAGUAACGCGUAUCCAACCUGCCCAUCACUUGGGGAUAACCUUGCGAAAGUAAGACUAAUACCCAAUGACGUCUCUAGAAGACAUCUGAAGGAGAUUAAAGAUUUAUCGGUGAUGGAUGGGGAUGCGUCUGAUUAGCUUGUUGGCGGGGUAACGGCCCACCAAGGCGACGAUCAGUAGGGGUUCUGAGAGGAAGGCCCCCCCACAUUGGAACUGAGACACGGUCCAAACUCCUACGGGAGGCAGCAGUGAGGAAUAUUGGUCAAUGGACGAGAGUCUGAACCAGCCAAGUAGCGUGCAGGAUGACGGCCCUAUGGGUUGUAAACUGCUUUUAUAAGGGAAUAAAGUGAGUCUCGUGAGACUUUUUGCAUGUACCUUAUGGAUAAGGACCGGCUAAUUCCGUGCCAGCAGCCG
Molecule: ribosomal RNA, 503 nt
Filed under: uncultured bacterium
Lineage: Bacteria
Description: bacterial SSU rRNA
Rfam family: Bacterial small subunit ribosomal RNA
Source: RNAcentral